GUGGGUGGCAAGCGUUGUCCGGAAUUAUUGGGCGUAAAGCGCGCGCAGGUGGUUCUUUAAGUCUGAUGUGAAAGCCCCCGGGCUCAACCGGGGAGGGUCAUUGGAAACUGGGGAACUUGAGUGCAGGAGAGGAAAGUGGAAUUCCACGUGUAGCGGUGAAAUGCGUAGAUAUGUGGAGGAACACCAGUGGCGAAGGCGACUUUCUGGCCUGUAACUGACACUGAGGCGCGAAAGCGUGGGGAGCAAACAGGAUUAGAUACCCUGGUAGUCCACGCCGUAAACGAUGAGUGCUAAGUGUUGGGGGGUUUCCGCCCCUCAGUGCUGCAGCUAACGCAUUAAGCACUCCGCCUGGGGAGUACGGUCGCAAAGACUG
This 373-nucleotide ribosomal RNA is filed under the name uncultured organism. Its description in RNAcentral is "partial 16S ribosomal RNA". It matches the Rfam family "Bacterial small subunit ribosomal RNA", at positions 527 to 896 of the family's 1533-position model. The record is from RNAcentral.